GAUGAACGCUGGCGGCGUGCCUAAUACAUGCAAGUCGAGCGAACGGACGAGAAGCUUGCUUCUCUGAUGUUAGCGGCGGACGGGUGAGUAACACGUGGAUAACCUACCUAUAAGACUGGGAUAACUUCGGGAAACCGGAGCUCAUACCGGAUAAUAUUUUGAACCGCAUGGUUCAAAAGUGAAAGACGGUCUUGCUGUCACUUAUAGAUUGAUCCGCGCUGCAUUAGCUAGUUGGUAAGGUAACGGCUUACCAAGGCAACGAUGCAUAGCCGACCUGAGAGGGUGAUCGGCCACACUGGAACUGAGACACGGACCAGACUCCUACGGGAGGCAGCAGUAGGGAAUAUUCCGCAAUGGGCGAAAGCAUGACGGAGCAAAGCCGCGUGAGUGAUGAAGGUCUUAGGAUCGUAAAACUCUGUUAUUAGGGAAGAACAUAUGUGUAAGUAACUGUGCACAGAGUGACGGUAACUAAUAAGAAAGCAACGGCUAACUACGUG
Molecule: ribosomal RNA, 497 nt
Filed under: uncultured bacterium
Lineage: Bacteria
Description: partial 16S ribosomal RNA
Rfam family: Bacterial small subunit ribosomal RNA
Source: RNAcentral